UAUCUUUUUCAACCUUCUUUUUCUUUGAAAUGAAGGCUUGGAUUCUGGAAGUUUGUGCUGGCUGGCUUUGAGCCGAGUUUAGCUCUUCUGAAAUAUAUUAGCAAGGUCAUUAUGAUCAUUUUUGAUAUGAUAAUUAUCUAUAUCAUUAAUGAAACGGUUUAUAUCUUGCUUCUAAUCAUACUAUUAUU
This 188-nucleotide unclassified non-coding RNA is filed under the name uncultured Entolomataceae. RNAcentral's name for it is "sequence contains ITS2". The record is from RNAcentral. Lineage: Eukaryota; Fungi; Basidiomycota; Agaricomycetes; Agaricales; Entolomataceae.